Molecule: ribosomal RNA, 765 nt
Filed under: uncultured Streptococcus sp.
Lineage: Bacteria; Bacillati; Bacillota; Bacilli; Lactobacillales; Streptococcaceae
Description: bacterial SSU rRNA
Rfam family: Bacterial small subunit ribosomal RNA
Source: RNAcentral
GAUGAACGCUGGCGGCGUGCCUAAUACAUGCAAGUAGGACGCUGAAGCUUGGUGCUUGCACCGAGCGGAUGAGUUGCGAACGGGUGAGUAACGCGUAGGUAACCUGCCUCUUAGCGGGGGAUAACUAUUGGAAACGAUAGCUAAUACCGCAUAAAAGUCGAUAUCGCAUGAUGUUGACUUGAAAGGUGCAAUUGCAUCACUAAGAGAUGGACCUGCGUUGUAUUAGCUAGUUGGUGAGGUAACGGCUCACCAAGGCGACGAUACAUAGCCGACCUGAGAGGGUGAUCGGCCACACUGGGACUGAGACACGGCCCAGACUCCUACGGGAGGCAGCAGUAGGGAAUCUUCGGCAAUGGGGGCAACCCUGACCGAGCAACGCCGCAUGAGUGAAGAAGGUUUUCGGAUCGUAAAGCUCUGUUGUAAGAGAAGAACGAGUGUGAGAGUGGAAAGUUCACACUGUGACGGUAACUUACCAGAAAGGGACGGCUAACUACGUGCCAGCAGCCGCGGUAAUACGUAGGUCCCGAGCGUUAUCCGGAUUUAUUGGGCGUAAAGCGAGCGCAGGCGGUUAGAUAAGUCUGAAGUUAAAGGCUGUGGCUUAACCAUAGUACGCUUUGGAAACUGUUUAACUUGAGUGCAGAAGGGGAGAGUGGAAUUCCAUGUGUAGCGGUGAAAUGCGUAGAUAUAUGGAGGAACACCGGUGGCGAAAGCGGCUCUCUGGUCUGUAACUGACGCUGAGGCUCGAAAGCGUGGGGAGCAAACAGG